CCACUAAAUGACAUAUUUUCCUCUGGCUUUCACUAUUUAUGGUACAGCGCCAGGGUGGUGCAGUUUUGUCCUGCACACAUGUUUUUAAUGAGAGAAGGGAGGAAACCAUGCCAUUUUUGUAGUUUCAAAGGCAUGAGAAAUAGGAAGUGGUUUCAGGAGGGGCAGAAAAAGUGGGCAGUCUACUGUUGCUGCCUCCUCAGUGUGUGACGUGACAUUUAAGACAUCAGGCCUAUAAUCCCAACACAUUGGGAAGCCGAGGCAGGAGGGUCACUUGAGGCCAGGAGUUCAAGACCAGCCUGGGUAACAUAGAGAGAUCCUGUCUCUACCAAAAAAUUUUUCAAAAAAUUACCUGAGGCAGGAGGGUCCCUCGCACCAAGGAGUUUGAGGCUGCAGUGAGCUCGCUAUGAUCACGCCACUUCACUCCAGCCUGGGAGACAGAGUGAGACACUGUAUCAAAAAAAGAAAAAAAAGAAGAAGAUAAAGAAGAGAAAAAGAAGAAAAAGAAGAAGAAGGAGAAGGAGAAGAAGGAAAAAGUACUCAGCCACAGUGUGAGCUUGUGAAGUGCAUCUGAGAUGGAUUCACAAAGAUCUAGUGAAAGGAACAAAACCACAGGGAUGAACUGACAAAGUUCAAACAGGGACUGAUAAAUCCGGAGAAAUGAUGAGCUCCAAAGGAGGGUUCAGUGUGGGUACCACCAACCUCUUGCACUACUCAGACCUAUUUGUCCUUUCUUAUUAAUAUGAAGCUCCAGGUAUACAUAAUAAUUCCAUAUUUUAAAAUAAAGGUGUUCUCACUCUUUCUCUUGGAGGAGAGGUGGAAGUCCAACAAUGCACACUCAAUGUGGUGGCCAGUUGUGAUCUCCUGGAAGACUAAAGCAAGGGAGUUUGUAGAACAAGCUACAAUACCACUACAGUAUAGUUUGUCUAGAGGGCACAGCUGAUAUUUCUCCACUGCUAUCUCCACUAUCCAUUCUAGUUUCCCCUCAUCCUUGUCUAGCAUGUUAGCUGGUCUGAGCUGCUUGCCUGGUGAGGUGACCUCGACCUUAAUCCCAAAGGCCUGAGUGUUUAGUUGCUAUAUUCUUUUUCAAGUAUGUUUGCUGAAGUUGCUCAUAGAUAGUCAUUACCACACAUGCAAGUAUGAAGAGACACCCCAAUGAUUUCCACGGAUUCCAGAUUGGCCUGCAUAGUAUGGUGGUCACCCUUUCUCCUCACAGUGACAGGGUAAGUUACCACAGCCACUAUAGCAAUGCUCUCCCUGGCCUAUUGCUCUACCAAUACACGACGAGCUAAAAGUAAUUAGAUGGUAGUCACAGCACCCAGUUUAGUAGAACUUACUGUAUU
RNAcentral lists this long non-coding RNA (1340 nucleotides) under Homo sapiens (human). RNAcentral describes it as "HSALNT0007780". Lineage: Eukaryota; Metazoa; Chordata; Mammalia; Primates; Hominidae. The record is from RNAcentral.